Molecule: long non-coding RNA, 251 nt
Filed under: Lathyrus oleraceus (garden pea)
Lineage: Eukaryota; Viridiplantae; Streptophyta; Magnoliopsida; Fabales; Fabaceae
Description: Pisum sativum (pea) long non-coding RNA (PSAT_LNC015358)
Source: RNAcentral
GGUCCUGACCAUCUGGAUCGUAGUUUUCCCGGGAAUAACUUUAGUCUAGAGUUAAAUAAAAGGACUGCGUCGCCUUGCUUGAAGAUUUUCCUUGAUAUACGCUUGUCAUGCCAUUGUUUUGUUCUUUCUUUAUAGAUUCUGGCAUUUUCAUAGGCGUCUCUUCUGAGUUCUUCUAAUUCGUUUAUGUCAAGGAUUCUCUUUUCACCGGCGGCUUUAUAGUUUAGAUUCAGAUUUCUAAUAGCCCAAUAGGC